RNAcentral lists this ribosomal RNA (640 nucleotides) under uncultured bacterium. Its description in RNAcentral is "bacterial SSU rRNA". It matches the Rfam family "Bacterial small subunit ribosomal RNA", at positions 249 to 885 of the family's 1533-position model. The record is from RNAcentral.
UUGGUGGGGUGAUGGCCUACCAAGGCGACGACGGGUAGCCGGCCUGAGAGGGUGUCCGGCCACACUGGGACUGAGAUACGGCCCAGACUCCUACGGGAGGCAGCAGUGGGGAAUAUUGCACAAUGGGCGCAAGCCUGAUGCAGCGACGCCGCGUGGGGGAUGACGGCCUUCGGGUUGUAAACCUCUUUCACCAUCGGCGAAGCCGGGAGCUUUUGUUUCUGGUGACGGUAGGUGGAGAAGAAGCACCGGCCAACUACGUGCCAGCAGCCGCGGUAAUACGUAGGGUGCGAGCGUUGUCCGGAAUUACUGGGCGUAAAGAGCUCGUAGGUGGUUUGUCGCGUUGUUCGUGAAAUCUCACGGCUUAACUGUGAGCGUGCGGGCGAUACGGGCAGACUGGAGUACUGCAGGGGAGACUGGAAUUCCUGGUGUAGCGGUGGAAUGCGCAGAUAUCAGGAGGAACACCGGUGGCGAAGGCGGGUCUCUGGGCAGUAACUGACGCUGAGGAGCGAAAGCGUGGGGAGCGAACAGGAUUAGAUACCCUGGUAGUCCACGCCGUAAACGGUGGGUACUAGGUGUGGGUUUCCUUCCUUGGGAUCCGUGCCGUAGCUAACGCAUUAAGUACCCCGCCUGGGGAGUACGG